CGAGGACGAACGCGUGGCGGCGUGACCUAACACAUGACAAGUCGAACGGAGAGGACAUGAAGUAGUUCGGUACGGAAUGCUCUCUUAGUGGCGAACGGGUGAGUAACACGUGGGCAACCUGCCCCAGACUGGGGGAUAACAUUGUGAAAACAGUGCUAAUACCGCAUGACAGGGUUCCGGGCAUCCGGGACCCUUGAAAGGAGAAAUCCGGUCAGGGAUGGGCCCGCGUCCAAUUAGCUAGUUGGCGGGGUAACGGCCCACCAAGGCGACGAUUGGUAGCCGAACUGAGAGGUUGAUCGGCCACAUUGGGACUGAGACACGGCCCAGACUCCUACGGGAGGCAGCAGUGGGGAAUAUUGGGCAAUGGGCGAAAAAGCCUGACCCAGCGACGCCGCGUGAAGGAUGAAGGUCUUCGGAUUGUAAACUUCUUUGAUCAGGGAAGAAAGAAAUGACGGUACCUGAAAAACAAGCCACGGCUAACUACGUGCCAGCCGCGGC
Molecule: ribosomal RNA, 498 nt
Filed under: uncultured bacterium
Lineage: Bacteria
Description: bacterial SSU rRNA
Rfam family: Bacterial small subunit ribosomal RNA
Source: RNAcentral